RNAcentral lists this ribosomal RNA (767 nucleotides) under Streptococcus pneumoniae. RNAcentral describes it as "partial 23S ribosomal RNA". It matches the Rfam family "Bacterial large subunit ribosomal RNA", at positions 2164 to 2925 of the family's 2925-position model. The record is from RNAcentral. Lineage: Bacteria; Bacillati; Bacillota; Bacilli; Lactobacillales; Streptococcaceae.
GUGGACGCCAGUCUGCAUGGAGCCGACCUUGAAAUACCACCCUUUAAUGUUUGAUGUUCUAACGUUGACCCGUGAUCCGGGUUGCGGACAGUGUCUGGUGGGUAGUUUGACUGGGGCGGUCUCCUCCUAAAGAGUAACGGAGGAGCACGAAGGUUGGCUAAUCCUGGUCGGACAUCAGGAGGUUAGUGCAAUGGCAUAAGCCAGCUUGACUGCGAGCGUGACGGCGCGAGCAGGUGCGAAAGCAGGUCAUAGUGAUCCGGUGGUUCUGAAUGGAAGGGCCAUCGCUCAACGGAUAAAAGGUACUCCGGGGAUAACAGGCUGAUACCGCCCAAGAGUUCAUAUCGACGGCGGUGUUUGGCACCUCGAUGUCGGCUCAUCACAUCCUGGGGCUGAAGUAGGUCCCAAGGGUAUGGCUGUUCGCCAUUUAAAGUGGUACGCGAGCUGGGUUUAGAACGUCGUGAGACAGUUCGGUCCCUAUCUGCCGUGGGCGCUGGAGAACUGAGGGGGGCUGCUCCUAGUACGAGAGGACCGGAGUGGACGCAUCACUGGUGUUCGGGUUGUCAUGCCAAUGGCACUGCCCGGUAGCUAAAUGCGGAAGAGAUAAGUGCUGAAAGCAUCUAAGCACGAAACUUGCCCCGAGAUGAGUUCUCCCUGACUCCUUGAGAGUCCUGAAGGAACGUUGAAGACGACGACGUUGAUAGGCCGGGUGUGUAAGCGCAGCGAUGCGUUGAGCUAACCGGUACUAAUGAACCGUGAGGCUUAACCUU